CUGCCCUCUGUUGACAUUUUGAAAGAGAUCCUUGAUCAACAACAAAAGUCAACAAAAUUUUCAUUCAUUUUUAUGCGGGUUUUCCGCAACAACACUAAAGCAACACAGCAAGAGAAUAAGUCUGUCGUUUUAACUGAUUCAUUCUCGGGUACAAUGGGUGUUAAAGAGGUACACAUCGAGUAUUGUGGUGGGUGAGGUUACUAUCCCCGCUACAGGGAACUGCAGGACGACAUCAAGCGUUCAGUCCCUGGAGCGGUUGUGGAUGGCAAGGUCGGCAGGAGGUCUUCGUUUGAAGUAACUCUGAAUGGCCAGGUGUUGUUCUCUAAACUGAAAAAUGGAGGAUUUCCAGUCAACAAGGAGAUCAUCCGAUCUAUCACCGAGUACGAUGGGGGAGAUGUGGUACCAGUCACUCAGAGUGCUAGUGAAUGCACGGUAUUGUAAGACGGCAAAAUAAACAGACUACCCACUGGCUACUAGAAUGCAUCAGACUUGUCGCAAUAGACUUGUAUCAAGCUUUCACAAUGUUCAUCCUGUUCCCAGUACACAGGGAAAGGAAUCAUCAAUCGACCUUAUGUACAUGAUGAGGAGGGCGCCCUCGCCUAGAGGACAAAUGGAGUUUUUUCAUCGGCCAGCCCUUUGCGCCGUGCGUACAAAUCUGUGUAUUUCCAUGGUUUUGUCAUCAUAUUACCUCUAUGAUGGCGGCUGGAUGAUGUUGAUGCAUAAUUAUUAUACUGUUAACAAAAUAUAUGAUAAAGGCACUGUUUUCCAAAGCAGCCUGUUGAGGAAUAAGACAUCUCAAACACGAUAACAGUCUUUUAAAACUUUCCUCACUCUACAUUUGCAUGACCUUUCAGCACUCGGACAUUAGCAAACACUUGUGUCGACUGAUUUAAACAACUUCAGUUGUACUUUGUUAGUUCUUGUCUUUUACUUUCUCACUCUGGUUUUUCCAUAUGUUUCAAGGCAUGAUAUUCCCUCAACUUUAGUCUGGUUUGUUUUGUUGUUGCUUAUGGACAAAUCUGAAAAGUUGUGAUUCAAUAGCCUGAUAUGUCUAUUAGAGCCUAUACCACGUGUUCAUGGUAGGUCAACCCUUGUACUCAAUACCAUUCUCCUACUUAAUACCAGGAACAACGCCUGGUAAUCACACAGUGUUUCUGACUCCGAGUACCUUGUCAGAUCUGUCAGCCAAGUUCAUACUUCCUGCGAACUAUUCACUGCGAAUUUGUGACAUCAAAAUUUAUAUCGAAUUCGCAUAAGCAGGAAGUAUGAACCGGGCUUUAGUCUUAGGCUGUGUCAAAAACGACCACUUCGGCUACAGCUACGGCAAGAUCAGUGCGUCAUCCAGUUGAAUAGGCAGACGUGUGAUCAAGCCCGUAGCUGUUGCAGAAGUUGCCAGGUUUUUUUUACUUCAGGUUUUGACAACUGACUGGGAUAUCUUAUCUUUUUUUGAUGUUUUAUUAAAGAAAGACUGUAUGCGGUUUAAGGAGUUCUCCAUUCUUAGAGGACUAGCAAAAAAAAACUAUUUUUCUUCAGACAAUUUAUAUGCAUAUUUAUACAGUUGUGCAAUUCAAACAAAUAAUAUCUGUAAAAAAAAUGAGGUGAAACGCAGUCAGUCUAUAUAUAAGCCCAGAAUAAUUCUUCACUCAAUGCCAUUCAGGGGAAAAUAUGAAUAUGCAAAAGAUAUUUAACAACGUACAGCCAUGUUUUUUGUGUAUGCAAUGUGGACUAUUUCUCUCUUCCUUUGGUGACUGCUUUAUACUUCUUCCUAAAAAUUGUGAGAGCUCAUUGA
Asterias rubens (European starfish) is the source of this 1789-nucleotide long non-coding RNA. RefSeq lists it as uncharacterized. NCBI's taxonomy places the organism in Eukaryota, Metazoa, Echinodermata, Asteroidea, Forcipulatida, Asteriidae. The record is from RefSeq and is a predicted model, not a curated record. The transcript has 4 exons.